RNAcentral lists this ribosomal RNA (253 nucleotides) under uncultured bacterium. Its description in RNAcentral is "partial 16S ribosomal RNA". It matches the Rfam family "Bacterial small subunit ribosomal RNA", at positions 524 to 776 of the family's 1533-position model. The record is from RNAcentral.
UACAGAGGGUGCAAGCGUUACUCGGAAUUACUGGGCGUAAAGCGUGCGUAGACGGUUAUGUAAGUCGGGUGUGAAAGCCCCGGGCUCAACCUGGGAAUUGCAUUCGAGACUGCAUAGCUAGGGUGCGGAAGAGGGAAGCGGAAUUUCCGGUGUAGCGGUGAAAUGCGUAGAUAUCGGAAGGAACACCAGUGGCGAAUGCGGCUUCCUGGUCCAGCACCGACGUUCAGGCACGAAAGCGUGGGGAGCAAACAGG